RNAcentral lists this ribosomal RNA (511 nucleotides) under uncultured bacterium. RNAcentral describes it as "bacterial SSU rRNA". It matches the Rfam family "Bacterial small subunit ribosomal RNA", at positions 29 to 518 of the family's 1533-position model. The record is from RNAcentral.
AACGAACGCUGGCGGCGUGCUUAACACAUGCAAGUCGAGCGCGAAAGGGACUUCGGUCCUGAGUAAAGUGGCGCACGGGUGAGUAACGCGUAGAUAACCUGUCUUCAUGUCUGGAAUAAUACGCCGAAAGGGGUACUAAUACCGGAUAUUCUUGCUUUUCAUAAGUUAUGCAAGCAAAGGUGGCCUCUGCAUAUGCUACUGCAUGAAGAGGGGUCUGCGUACCAUUAGCUAGUAGGUGGGGUAAUGGCCUACCUAGGCGACGAUGGUUAGCGGGUCUGAGAGGAUGAUCCGCCACACUGGCACUGGAACACGGGCCAGACUCCUACGGGAGGCAGCAGUGAGGAAUAUUGCGCAAUGGGGGAAACCCUGACGCAGCGACGCCGCGUGAGUGAAGGAAGGCCUUCGGGUCGUAAAGCUCUGUCAAGAGGAAAGAAGUGUACAAUGGCUAAUACCUGUUGUAUUUGACGGUACCUCUAAAGGAAGCACCGGCUAACUCCGUGCCAGCCGCAGC